RNAcentral lists this non-coding RNA (22 nucleotides) under Arabidopsis thaliana (thale cress). Lineage: Eukaryota; Viridiplantae; Streptophyta; Magnoliopsida; Brassicales; Brassicaceae. The record is from RNAcentral.
UUGCACUACUGCAAGGGCUGGC